AUGCUUUGAGUGUCCUAUUAAAGAAACUGUAGUCAAAGGAGAUUAAAUUCUUAACUUCUUAAACGUCAAUUUAAUCAUUAAAGGAGGAAUUCGAACUAGCAAUUUAUAGAGUUCAUGAGCUGUUUUCUAUAUUAUGUAUAGUUUACUUCCCAGACCCCAGAAUUUUACUGGGUAUGUUGUUGCAUAUUUUUCUUGAACACUAUGUGGAUAUUUGGAUGAGUACCGUGUUAAUUGAUAUCUUUAAAAAGAAGGAACGAAAGUUCUGUCAACUUGGCCCGAGGAUUGAGCUAUGGCUCAUUUUUUAGUUCAUCUUGAUCUAACUUAACUUAGCUCAAGUUGACUUAGGGUUGGAUUUGGCGAUGACCCAUUUAUUGAUUUAGCCCAUCUUAGCCCAUAUUGCCCAUUGCCACCCCUGCAUGAUCCUAUCCAAGCAAAAAAAAUCUUCAUAUGUUUCAUGUGAAAUGAAGAGAACUAUAUCCGUGCUCUAUCCGUGUUGAGCUCACCUUUGGCUUCUCCUAGCAGAGUGGAUCUAGGAUUUUAACUUUAUCAGCUUAAUAUUUAUGACUUUUAGCAUUGAAUUCAUUAUAUUUUUUAAGUGAUGGGUUCAUAUAUACUAUUUGUUGCACUUCUCAUGAAUGUUUACGUAUAAUUUAUGCUCCACGUUAAAAAUAUUGUGUUCAAAUAAAUUCUAUACAAAUCCAUCUCUCAUCUCUGGGAAACUGUUGAACAUUGUUGAACCAAGUUCAACAAUUUUUUACAAAUUAGUCCGGACUUGGAUCGGCUAAUUGUUGGACAGAGAACAAAGGAAAAAUUAAAAGACAAAGAAACAAGGUAAGCUACGAGAAGAAGAAAAACUGCGUCUCUUUUAUUUUUAUUUUUU
This 880-nucleotide long non-coding RNA is filed under the name Capsicum annuum. RNAcentral describes it as "long non-coding RNA (CANN_LNC001281)". Lineage: Eukaryota; Viridiplantae; Streptophyta; Magnoliopsida; Solanales; Solanaceae. The record is from RNAcentral.